RNAcentral lists this ribosomal RNA (482 nucleotides) under uncultured bacterium. Its description in RNAcentral is "partial 16S ribosomal RNA". It matches the Rfam family "Bacterial small subunit ribosomal RNA", at positions 30 to 507 of the family's 1533-position model. The record is from RNAcentral.
UGAACGCUGGCGGCAUGCUUUACACAUGCACGUCGAACGGCAGCGCGGGCUUCGGCCUGGCGGCGAGUGGCGAACGGGUGAGUAAUACAUCAGAACGUGCCCAGUAGUGGGGGAUAGCUCGGCGAAAGCCGGAUUAAUACCGCGUACGACCUGAGGGUGAAAGCGGGGGAUCUUCGGACCUCGCGCUAUUUGAGCGGCCGAUGGCAGAUUAGGUAGUUGGUGGGGUAAAGGCCUACCAAGGCGACGAUCUGUAGCUGGUCUGAGAGGACGACCAGCCACACUGGGACUGAGACACGGCCCAGACUCCUACGGGAGGCAGCAGUGGGGAAUUUUGGACAAUGGGCGAAAGCCUGAUCCAGCAAUGCCGCGUGUGUGAUGAAGGCCUUCGGGUUGUAAAGCACUUUUGGCGGGAACGAAAAGGACUGUGCCAAUACCACGGUUCGAUGACGGUACCCGCAGAAUAAGCACCGGCUAACUACGUG